RNAcentral lists this ribosomal RNA (48 nucleotides) under Inocybe rhodella. RNAcentral describes it as "partial 25S large subunit ribosomal RNA". The record is from RNAcentral. Lineage: Eukaryota; Fungi; Basidiomycota; Agaricomycetes; Agaricales; Inocybaceae. RNAcentral also lists the same sequence under 1 other name.
UUGAUCUCAAAUCAGGUAGGACUACCCGCUGAACUUAAGCAUAUCAAU